UUGGAAAGAGUGACUUUGUGGUC
This 23-nucleotide non-coding RNA is filed under the name Mus musculus (house mouse). Lineage: Eukaryota; Metazoa; Chordata; Mammalia; Rodentia; Muridae. The record is from RNAcentral.